GCUGCCUGGUUUUGGCAGCACAUGUACUAAAAUUCAAAUGAUACAGAGUAGAUUAGCAUGGCCCCUGCACAACAAUUUUACAUUUUGUCUAUGUAUAUGAGGGAAAUUGUU
Small nuclear RNA from Apodemus sylvaticus (European woodmouse), 111 nucleotides. The record is from RefSeq and is a predicted model, not a curated record. Lineage: Eukaryota; Metazoa; Chordata; Mammalia; Rodentia; Muridae.